CAGCAGCCGCGGUAAUACGGAGGGUGCAAGCGUUAAUCGGAAUUACUGGGCGUAAAGCGCACGCAGGCGGUUUGUUAAGUCAGGUGUGAAAUCCCCGAGCUUAACUUGGGAACUGCAUUUGAAACUGGCAAGCUAGAGUCUUGUAGAGGGGGGUAGAAUUCCAGGUGUAGCGGUGAAAUGCGUAGAGAUCUGGAGGAAUACCGGUGGCGAAGGCGGCCCCCUGGACAAAGACUGACGCUCAGGUGCGAAAGCGUGGGGAGCAAACAGGAUUAGAUACCCGAGUAGUCCCUGUCUCUUAUAC
Molecule: ribosomal RNA, 301 nt
Filed under: uncultured bacterium
Lineage: Bacteria
Description: partial 16S ribosomal RNA
Rfam family: Bacterial small subunit ribosomal RNA
Source: RNAcentral